This 408-nucleotide long non-coding RNA is filed under the name Coffea arabica (coffee). RNAcentral describes it as "long non-coding RNA (CARA_LNC004582)". The record is from RNAcentral. Lineage: Eukaryota; Viridiplantae; Streptophyta; Magnoliopsida; Gentianales; Rubiaceae.
GGCAAGAGAAAGAUUUUCUUGAGAUUGGAGACAGAAUCCAUGGAGUUGGAGAAAAAUCUUUCCUAAAUUGGUUCGUCCCCCUUCAAAACUUAUCCGCCUCCAGCCUCUCUCUUAGCCACCUCGUCCAACUCAUUCUUCACACCGGAAGGCGAAGGUACAAAAGCGGCCCCAUUAUUCGACUGCUGUCGAGCUCUGGUUUACAGACCAUUGUGGAUCGGAGGGAAAGGUACGGGCGGCGGCUUCUCACGAGCCUGGCGCUUGGACGAGGUUGUUUGAGGAGUCGAACUGCUGCCGCUGCCGGUGGUGCUUGCUUUUCUCUUCUGUCCUCCGCCUCUCCUCCUCGAACUGGCAGGUGCAUCGGUCACCGGAGCCUCGACCGAUGCAGCCGCCGGCGGUGGGGUUCCGGUG